This 1865-nucleotide ribosomal RNA is filed under the name Tetraodon lineatus. Its description in RNAcentral is "SSU rRNA". Lineage: Eukaryota; Metazoa; Chordata; Actinopteri; Tetraodontiformes; Tetraodontidae. The record is from RNAcentral.
AGUCAUAUGCUUGUCUCGCGAUUAAGCCAUGCAUGCCUAUGUAUAUGCUCUUGCACAGCAACACGGGUUCAUUAAAACUAUUGUUUAUCGCUGCCCGUUACAUGGAUAACUGUAGUAAUUCUAGAGCUAAUACAUGCCUUGAAUCCGUGACCCGCAAGGGGAUCGGUGCACUUAUCAGUACAAGACCAACCGGGCGAGUACGGGUGCGCCUGCGAACGUCGUGUUGUGUCUGGAUAAUUUCUACAGAUCGGGGUCUUGUGUCGGCGACAGUUCUUUAACAUGCCCUAUCAACUUACGAUGGUAGUGGCCUACCAUGGUGAUAACGGGUAACGGGGAAUCAGGGGCGUCGGAGAGGGAGCCUGAGAAACGGAGUCACCAAGGAAGGCAGCAGGCGCGCAAAUUACCCACUCGUGAGGGAGGUAGUGACGAAAAAUAACGAUGCGGUGCAAUCCGUAAUCGGAAUGAGUACAGUCUAAAGCCGUGACAUGCAAUUGGAGGGCAAGUCUGGUGCGGUCGCGGUAACUCCAGCUCCAAUAGCGUAUAUUAAAGUUGCUGCAGUUAAAAAGCUCGUAGUUGUGCACGGCAGUGCCGCUGGCCUAGGGCGUGUGCGUUUGGGCCUGUCUGUGCAUAGAUAGGUUCUUGAUUGCUGCGCUCUUGGCUAGUUGGUGGUGCAGUGACCGUGUCUGUGGCUCUCGGGCUACAGGUGCUCGUCGUGAGUCGCUAUCGCUCGCGUGCGGGUACGCACCGUGCCGUGAUUGUGUGUCUUGGUGCGGGCGGCAUGUUAAAUUUGAGUGCUCAAAGCAUGUAUGUGUCUGAAAAGUCUUGCAUGGAAUAAUGGAAUAGGACUUCAGUUCUAUGUUUGGUUUUCGGAUCUGAAGUAAUGGUUAAGAGRGACCCGCUGCAUUUGUAUGGCGGUGUUAGAGGUGAAAUUCUUGGAUCGCCGCCAGACAUGUAGCGAAAGCAUUUGCCAGGAAUGUUUUCAUUGACAAAGAGCGAAAGUCAGAGGUUCGAAGACGAUCAGAUACCGUCCUAGUUCUGACCAUAAACGAUGCCGACUGACGAUCCGUGGGGUAAAAUUCUUUUGUCCCCACGGGCAGUCUCCGGGAAACCUUUAAGUCUUUGGGUUCCGGGGGAAGUAUGGUUGCAAAGCUGAAACUUAAAGGAAUUGACGGAAGGGCACCACCAGGAGUGGAGCCUGCGGCUUAAUUUGACUCAACACGGGAAAACUCACCCGGCCCGGACACUGUGAGGAUUGACAGAUUGACAGCUCUUUCAUGAUUCGGUGGUUGGUGGUGCAUGGCCGUUCUUAGUUGGUGGAGCGAUUUGUCUGGUUAAUUCCGAUAACGAACGAGACUCUAUUCUGCUAAAUAGUACUUCCGUAAUUGGUCGGCUUGCCUAGCAUGGGCUUCCGGCUGCACUCGUUGUGGCCGGGCAGCCUACUGUUGGCUUCCGACUGCGCGGAUGUGACUUCUUAGAGAGACAAGCUGCGCUAGCAGCACGAAAUUGAGCAAUAACAGGUCUGUGAUGCCCUUAGAUGUCCGGGGCCGCACGCGCGCUACAAUGACGGUACCAGCGAGUAUGACCUCCUGGCCCGAGAGGGCUAGGCAAACUGGUCCAUGACCGUCGUGACAGGGAUCGGGGUUUGUAAUUAUCCCCCGUGAACGAGGAAUUCCCAGUAAGUGCAAGUCAUAAGCUUGUGCUGAUUACGUCCCUGCCCUUUGUACACACCGCCCGUCGCUACUACCGAUUGAGUGGUUUGGCAAGGCCUUCGGAUCGGCGCCAUUGUAACCUUCGGGUUCGACAGGUGCUGAAAAGAGGACCAAACUUGAUCCCUUAGAGGAAGUAAAAGUCGUAACAAGGUUUCC